CGUGGCGGCCCGACUAUACAUCGCAAGUCGAGCGGACAGAUGGGAGCUUGCUCCCUGAUGUUAGCGGCGGACGGGUGAGUAACACGUGGGUAACCUGCCUGUAAGACUGGGAUAACUCCGGGAAACCGGGGCUAAUACCGGAUGGUUGUUUGAACCGCAUGGUUCAAACAUAAAAGGUGGCUUCGGCUACCACUUACAGAUGGACCCGCGGCGCAUUAGCUAGUUGGUGAGGUAACGGCUCACCAAGGCAACGAUGCGUAGCCGACCUGAGAGGGUGAUCGGCCACACUGGGACUGAGACACGGCCCAGACUCCUACGGGAGGCAGCAGUAGGGAAUCUUCCGCAAUGGACGAAAGUCUGACGGAGCAACGCCGCGUGAGUGAUGAAGGUUUUCGGAUCGUAAAGCUCUGUUGUUAGGGAAGAACAAGUACCGUUCGAAUAGGGCGGUACCUUGACGGUACCUAACCAGAAAGCCACGGCUAACUACGUGCCAGCAGCCGCGGUAAUACGUAGGUGGCAAGCGUUGUCCGGAAUUAUUGGGCGUAAAGGGCUCGCAGGCGGUUUCUUAAGUCUGAUGUGAAAGCCCCCGGCUCAACCGGGGAGGGUCAUUGGAAACUGGGGAACUUGAGUGCAGAAGAGGAGAGUGGAAUUCCACGUGUAGCGGUGAAAUGCGUAGAGAUGUGGAGGAACACCAGUGGCGAAGGCGACUCUCUGGUCUGUAACUGACGCUGAGGAGCGAAAGCGUGGGGAGCGAACAGGAUUAGAUACCCUGGUAGUCCACGCCGUAAACGAUGAGUGCU
RNAcentral lists this ribosomal RNA (800 nucleotides) under Bacillus tequilensis. Its description in RNAcentral is "bacterial SSU rRNA". It matches the Rfam family "Bacterial small subunit ribosomal RNA", at positions 34 to 817 of the family's 1533-position model. Lineage: Bacteria; Bacillati; Bacillota; Bacilli; Caryophanales; Bacillaceae. The record is from RNAcentral.